Molecule: ribosomal RNA, 885 nt
Filed under: Rhynchosporium graminicola
Lineage: Eukaryota; Fungi; Ascomycota; Leotiomycetes; Helotiales; Ploettnerulaceae
Description: partial large subunit ribosomal RNA
Rfam family: Eukaryotic large subunit ribosomal RNA
Source: RNAcentral
GGAGGAAAAGAAACCAACAGGGAUUACCUCAGUAACGGCGAGUGAAGCGGUAACAGCUCAAAUUUGAAAGCUAGCUCUUUGAGGGUUCGCAUUGUAAUUUGUAGAAGAUGCUUCGGGUGUGGCCCCGGUCUAAGUUCCUUGGAACAGGACGUCAUAGAGGGUGAGAAUCCCGUAUGUGACUGGGUGCUUUCGCUCAUGUGAAGCUCUUUCGACGAGUCGAGUUGUUUGGGAAUGCAGCUCUAAAUGGGUGGUACAUUUCAUCUAAAGCUAAAUAUUGGCCAGAGACCGAUAGCGCACAAGUAGAGUGAUCGAAAGAUGAAAAGCACUUUGGAAAGAGAGUUAAACAGUACGUGAAAUUGUUGAAAGGGAAGCGCUUGCAACCAGACUUGCGCGCUGAUGAUCAUCCGGGCUUCUGCCCGGUGCACUCGUCUGCGCUCAGGCCAGCAUCGGUUUCGGUGGUGGGAUAAAGGCCUUGGGAAUGUAGCUCCUCUCGGGGAGUGUUAUAGCCCUCGGUGCAAUGCCGCCUACCGGGACCGAGGACCGCGCUUCGGCUAGGAUGCUGGCGUAAUGGUUGUAAGCGACCCGUCUUGAAACACGGACCAAGGAGUCUAACAUCUAUGCGAGUGUUUGGGUGUCAAACCCAUACGCGUAAUGAAAGUGAACGGAGGUGAGAACCCUUAAGGGUGCAUCAUCGACCGGUCCUGAUGUCUUCGGAUGGAUCUGAGUAAGAGCAUAGCUGUUGGGACCCGAAAGAUGGUGAACUAUGCGUGAAUAGGGUGAAGCCAGAGGAAACUCUGGUGGAGGCUCGCAGCGGUUCUGACGUGCAAAUCGAUCGUCAAAUUUGCGUAUAGGGGCGAAAGACUAAUCGAACCAUCUAGUAGCUGG